GAACGGCAACCAUUCAAUGUUAAUAAGCAUUUUUUUUUACCUCCCUGGACAAACGUCCAGAGGAGGACGCCGUGUCCUAAAUCGAGGAGGAUUUCACAGUUAAUCAGGGAAGUGGCUGCAAAAGUCGACGCUGCAGCUGCAGCUGGUGCUGCUGAUGACCUUCAUUAACCUUUUAAAUGCCAGCGGCACCUCGCACAAAAAGCCUCCUUAUCAACAAAGGACACAAAUAGACAGCCUUUUUCAAAAAUUAAAUAUUUUCCAUGACUCAUUACGGUGUGAAAUUGACGGUUGGCACAAACUCGCCGGGAUCCACAUUCGUUCUGAACUCCGGAACCGGAGAACCGGAGAACAACAGGAGCAUGGCAUUUCAUCAUGUGUGCAGCAAGUCCGCGAACGAGCGAGCAGCACAAGGGUCCGGCGUGUAUACAUUAUUCGCUCCGGAGGUCAGCUGACAUGCCGUCAGACGUGGACGAAGCACAAGGGUGAGUUCUGGACACAUCUGCCAUGAGAAGCUUCAGAUCGGAUCAAUUUUAUUCCAGUUACACAGCCAGGUGGGUGAAGAAACACUCGUCGAAACAUAUAGUAUUUAGUUUGUUAGCUUUGUGGAUGUUUUGUGGACAUGAUCAAGGACAAAACAGUUGACGAAUUAGCAUGAGGGCAUAUUAAAACCGUGACAUG
Molecule: long non-coding RNA, 678 nt
Organism: Silurus meridionalis
Lineage: Eukaryota; Metazoa; Chordata; Actinopteri; Siluriformes; Siluridae
Exons: 2
Source: RefSeq, a predicted model, not a curated record